GCCUGGGUGGCUGAGUCGGUUAAGCAUCUGACUUUGGCUCAGUUCAUGAUCUCGCCAUCUGUGAGUUCAAGCCCCACGUCAGGCU
Molecule: transfer RNA, 85 nt
Filed under: Felis catus (domestic cat)
Lineage: Eukaryota; Metazoa; Chordata; Mammalia; Carnivora; Felidae
Also listed under: 1 other name
Rfam family: tRNA
About the family: Transfer RNA (tRNA) molecules are approximately 80 nucleotides in length.
Source: Rfam by way of RNAcentral